AUGGAGCUUUACUGCAGUUUGAUAUUGAGUGUCUGUACCACAUGUACAGGAUAGGUAGGAGUCUAAGAGAUCGGGACGCCAGUUUCGAAGGAGACGUUGUUGGGAUACUACCCUUGUGUUAUGGCCACUCUAACCCGGAUAGGUGAUCCCUAUCGGAGACAGUGUCUGACGGGCAGUUUGACUGGGGCGGUCGCCUCCUAAAAGGUAACGGAGGCGCCCAAAGGUUCCCUCAGAAUGGUUGGAAAUCAUUCGCAGAGUGUAAAGGUAUAAGGGAGCUUGACUGCGAGAGCUACAACUCGAGCAGGGACGAAAGUCGGGCUUAGUGAUCCGGUGGUUCCGUAUGGAAGGGCCAUCGCUCAACGGAUAAAAGCUACCCUGGGGAUAACAGGC
RNAcentral lists this ribosomal RNA (390 nucleotides) under Streptococcus oralis subsp. tigurinus 2426. RNAcentral describes it as "bacterial LSU rRNA". It matches the Rfam family "Bacterial large subunit ribosomal RNA", at positions 2093 to 2482 of the family's 2925-position model. Lineage: Bacteria; Bacillati; Bacillota; Bacilli; Lactobacillales; Streptococcaceae. The record is from RNAcentral.